This 449-nucleotide ribosomal RNA is filed under the name uncultured bacterium. Its description in RNAcentral is "partial 16S ribosomal RNA". It matches the Rfam family "Bacterial small subunit ribosomal RNA", at positions 29 to 523 of the family's 1533-position model. The record is from RNAcentral.
AGCGAACGCUGGCGGCAGGCCUAACACAUGCAAGUCGAACGAAGUCUUCGGACUUAGUGGCGGACGGGUGAGUAACACGUGGGAACGUGCCUUUAGGUUCGGAAUAACUCAGGGAAACUUGUGCUAAUGCCGAAUGUGCCCUUCGGGGGAAAGAUUUAUCGCCUUUAGAGCGGCCCGCGUCUGAUUAGCUAGUUGGUGAGGUAAAGGCUCACCAAGGCGACGAUCAGUAGCUGGUCUGAGAGGAUGAUCAGCCACAUUGGGACUGAGACACGGCCCAAACUCCUACGGGAGGCAGCAGUGGGGAAUCUUGCGCAAUGGGCGAAAGCCUGACGCAGCCAUGCCGCGUGAAUGAUGAAGGUCUUAGGAUUGUAAAAUUCUUUCACCGGGGACGAUAAUGACGGUACCCGGAGAAGAAGCACCGGCUAACUUCGUGCCAGCCGCCGCAGUAA